AUCUUGACAUUUAUUAACUCAGAAUGAACACACCAAAACAACAAAACGAACUUACGAACAACGAAACAGUCUUGAAAGGCUCACUCGGCAAAACAAGAAACACACCACCCCUAACCACAUAAAACAAAUACCCUCUGCCACGUCCUGACCAAACUACAAUACCAAUUAACCCUUAUACUGGCCAGGACGUGACACAGUAUGAACUCACAUGUUGUCCAUCCAAUCAUAGGAUUAGGAUCAGAGAAUUAACCUAAUAUGUUGUAUUGGGGUUGUGCGAAUUAAAACCAAGGGUCGACCUCUGCCUGAGAUCAGUUUCACGAAGAAGGAUGAAAAGGUGAGGGCGUUGAAUACCAAUUGGGAUCAAAAGUAUAGCUGGUUAACAGGGAGGCUUUCAUCAAGCAGCCUGUAUUGCUGGCCUUGCCUGCUUAUGGAAAGUCUGAGCCUUGUGCGAAAGGGCGGUACAGUAGCCUCCAGAACAUCUAUCGUUCAGCUAAACCGCUAAACAAAAGCAGGGAGCAUACAGAAGCCCACAUCAGAUUUAAGCUUCUGGGAAAAAGCCGCAUCGAUCUUGACGAAGGUCUGCGUAUUCAAACAGCGCAACACAACGAGAAAUCAAGUCCUUUCCUGCACUGAAGUCAAGCCUCUGAACGCCUCAACUCAUGCCUCAUACCCUCAUUCAAUCACUGCUGUGUACCCUUUCCAACACUAACCAGGAUGUAAUACAGAGAAAAGGAAAGGGUGG
This 742-nucleotide long non-coding RNA is filed under the name Salmo salar (Atlantic salmon). RNAcentral describes it as "lncRNA (ENSSSAG00000083127.1)". The record is from RNAcentral. Lineage: Eukaryota; Metazoa; Chordata; Actinopteri; Salmoniformes; Salmonidae.